Molecule: long non-coding RNA, 860 nt
Organism: Peromyscus californicus insignis
Lineage: Eukaryota; Metazoa; Chordata; Mammalia; Rodentia; Cricetidae
Exons: 4
Source: RefSeq, a predicted model, not a curated record
CAACAGGACUCCAGAAAUGAAGAAAGGAAGAAACCACGAGGAAGUGCCCUGGGAACGGAGGAGCAGUGUAGAGGAGAACAUCGUGGGUGUCUUUGACCUCAUCUAAGAGCAGACCAUGGAGCAUCUCACAGCCAUGCCUUCCUCAUGAUUAUGAUGAAAGUAUUCCUUGUAUUACUUCAAGCACAGAGACAGGCAUGCCAAUGCUGAGCUUCUCUCUUUGUAUUCACUUCAGGAUUCCAGCCUAUGGGAGGUACCAUACACAUUAGGGAUUAAAUCCCAGUUACCAGGAAUGACCAUUAUAUCUGGAGCGGGGUGAUGUUGAUAUACAAGCAGAAGGCUUGGAGAUGGCUUGUCAGUGUUACAUCUGAAGACGUGACCUCCCAUCAUCCCAUUCCAGCUGCUUUGCCUGCCACUUGCUGCUGUCCUUUCCUGCUAUGAUGGACUGAUAUCUCUGAAACUGUAAGCCAAAAGAAGCUCCUUCUUAUAUAAGUCAUCUUGGUAACGAUGUCUUGUCUUAGCAGCUGAAAAGUAAGUAAUACAGAAGUUGGUACCAGGAGUGGGGUAUCGCUGUGAAGAUCCUGACCACAUUGUUCUUUUGGAGGGAUGUUGAAAACUUUGUAACUUUGAACUAGAAGUUGAAAGCUGUAAACAGCAGUUUAUGGGCUGUUGUAUUGUGUAUUUGUUCCGUCCAGGACCUUGAGUUAGCUGGCCCAAUAGAGGCAAUGCUUCUUGCCUGCCUAUGUGACCUCUUAAAAGGGAAGGGGGAAGGGGUCAUGAGCUCUCUCUUGGAUGUGGAAGGUUUCCUGGUGCCUGGUUAGGCCACCUGGUCUGGAGCUUUCCCCAUCUUUCCCUGAGAGAUU